AACUGUUUGAUUUUCUGAUUUCUUUAUGCUUGCAGAGAGGUUCCACGACUUCAGUUUGGCUAUCAUCAAAAUUGGAGGAGAGCCCGAUGCAUUGGAGAGCAUCAUCCGCGAGUUCCACAGGAUCGAAUUGAGGAGGCAUUAUAACCUGACAUCAUUUGGAUGACUUUGUCAGUAGGAAGAAUGGCUAACAUGCCUAUUAAAGCUAGAUAAACGCGUAUUGAAGGAACUGGGGUAUGUUCGCCAUGUUUGAACACCCUCACAAUGACGGGUUUUGUGAACUCCAUUUGCGGAGGGAGCUUAAGUGCAAUUUCGUUUCAGGGAGAGCAGGUGCAUAUUUCUCCUUUUAGGCUGAUACUUCAGUACUCGUCAAUAUUUCUCCUUUUUAAAGCUAUGCUACAAAUGCUUAAGUACAACUUCAGGUUUCAGUUACAGUUAAUGCGCAUUGGCCAUGUUCUUAACUUUUGAUCCAUGGAGACAUCGCAUGUUUUGUACUAUGUUUUGUUGUACUGAGAAGCUGCAAAGCGCAAGCCGCAUGUUCAUAUAGGAGGGCAUCUCGGAAGAGAUGGGGUGAAUGAUCUAAAUAAUUUUUGAGACGCGGUAAUUCUAAAUCUAUCCCUCAGCCAUUUGCGAUCUGGCACCCCCCAACACAGAUAAGUACACGGUGCUUACCAUAAUUUACUUUUGCCUUUAUAGUAGUCCUCAUAAAUGUUUAGUGUUGAGUGUCUCAUAUCCAGCAUAUUAGUAGAAGAGCAUGCGAGAUUGGAGAGUUAUGUUUGUUGAUGGGAUUCAUUGUGCUGGUUAAAGUCAUAAUAUAUCAGCAGGUAUGACAUGGGAUUCAUUGUUCUCGUUAGAUGAGAUAUAUCAUCUGGUAAAUCAUUGGAUACAUUUCAACGUAUUGGAUUAUUUUGUUCUGAAUUAUUUAGUCAGCAGUUCGAAUUAUGGGAAAGUCAAAAAUAUAAUUUUGCCUGGCAUCUUGUACUGUUCCAAAUGGGAUUGAUGUAUAUUGAGAACUGAGGUUGGUCAGAUUCCCAAUUUAUAUUAAUACAGCGUAUACAAGAUUACUUGUGCUUACCAUCUUGUCCGGUGCGUUCCAAUUCAAUGCAAUUUAAAGUAUUUUGGCUGAUAUGUUGUAUGCCUCAUAGUUGGAUAUAUGGCAGAUUGAGCACAAGGAACAUAAUAUACAACCGCCCGUGGCGGGGCGUGUGGCCAGUGCUUGCGACAACUACGGAUGGAGUACAGGACCUGUGGUGGGUGCCCAUCUACACGAUCAACAUGACCUUCUUGGUUCGGCUACCCAUGAUUGUCGUUGUCGCGUGAUUUGUCAUCAAGGUCCAUGUUGUUUCCUCUGACGCCGGCUUCACGCUUUCCUCGUUUGCUAUUCAUAUUAUGAACC
This is a long non-coding RNA of Triticum aestivum (bread wheat), 1393 nucleotides long. RefSeq lists it as uncharacterized. The transcript has 6 exons. Lineage: Eukaryota; Viridiplantae; Streptophyta; Magnoliopsida; Poales; Poaceae. The record is from RefSeq and is a predicted model, not a curated record.